GACGAACGCUGGCGGCGCGCCUAACACAUGCAAGUCGAACGGAGCUGAGAGAAGCUUGCUUUUCUUAGCUUAGUGGCGAACGGGUGAGUAACGCGUGAGUAACCUGCCCUGGAGUGGGGGACAACAGUUGGAAACGACUGCUAAUACCGCAUAAGCCCACGAUCCGGCAUCGGCUUGAGGGAAAAGGAUUUAUUCGCUUCAGGAUGGACUCGCGUCCAAUUAGCUAGUUGGUGAGGUAACGGCCCACCAAGGCGACGAUUGGUAGCCGGACUGAGAGGUUGAACGGCCACAUUGGGACUGAGACACGGCCCAGACUCCUACGGGAGGCAGCAGUGGGGGAUAUUGCACAAUGGGGGAAACCCUGAUGCAGCGACGCCGCGUGGAGGAAGAAGGUUUUCGGAUUGUAAACUCCUGUCGUUAGGGACGAUAAUGACGGUACCUAACAAGAAAGCACCGGCUAACUACGCG
Molecule: ribosomal RNA, 468 nt
Filed under: uncultured bacterium
Lineage: Bacteria
Description: partial 16S ribosomal RNA
Rfam family: Bacterial small subunit ribosomal RNA
Source: RNAcentral